This 356-nucleotide ribosomal RNA is filed under the name Parvularcula marina. Its description in RNAcentral is "Bacterial large subunit ribosomal RNA". It matches the Rfam family "Bacterial large subunit ribosomal RNA", at positions 308 to 663 of the family's 2925-position model. Lineage: Bacteria; Pseudomonadati; Pseudomonadota; Alphaproteobacteria; Parvularculales; Parvularculaceae. The record is from Rfam by way of RNAcentral.
CAGCAAGGAUUACAAAGUGAUAUAGACGAAUGGGAUUGAAAGCCCAGCCAUAGACGGUGCCAGCCCGGUAGUCGAAAUGUUGCAAUGGUCCGAAGAGUAUCCCAAGUAGCACGGGGCCCGAGAAAUCCCGUGUGAAUCUGUCAGGACCACCUGAUAAGCCUAAAUACUUCCAGAUGACCGAUAGCGGACAAGUACCGUGAGGGAAAGGUGCAAAGUACCCCGGGAGGGGAGUGAAAUAGUACCUGAAACCGUUUGCUUACAAACCGUUGGAGCAGCCUUAGUAGCUGUGACAGCGUGCCUUUUGAAGAAUGAGCCUGCGAGUUAGUGAUCAGUGGCGAGGUUAACCCGUGUGGGGC